This 71-nucleotide transfer RNA is filed under the name Loxodonta africana (African savanna elephant). It matches the Rfam family "tRNA". From Rfam's summary of the family: Transfer RNA (tRNA) molecules are approximately 80 nucleotides in length. Their secondary structure includes four short double-helical elements and three loops (D, anti-codon, and T loops). The record is from Rfam by way of RNAcentral. Lineage: Eukaryota; Metazoa; Chordata; Mammalia; Proboscidea; Elephantidae.
GUAUUGGUGGUUCAGUGGUAGAAUUCUCACCUUCCACGCAGGAGACUCAGGUUUGAUUCCCGGCCAGUGCA